CAACUUCAGAUGUAGAAAACCUGAAGGACCCAAGGAUUGUGUAAGAACUAUGACUGGCUGUAUUGAAGAAUGCAGACCCAGAAUCCCAACAGAGUCAGAGCCUGGGUCUGCAGCCCGGGAUGCAAAGCUUGCAGCGUGGUCUCGAUGAUCCAGCCCACUUGGUGUGGACAUGAAGAGGGACACAGACUGCAUGCAGUCAUCUGAGUUUGAUGAUGUCACCCAGUCUGAAGACACAGGCAGACCCUCUUCUGCACAGGAACUAAUCCAAGUCAACCCACCUCAUGCCAUACCAAAAGGCGCAGUCAGAGCACAGAUGAAGCCAUGCGGCAGCAAGGAGGAUGGAGUGGAGGUACACAAACAAACCACGGCGCACACAAAAUGGCACAGCCACAGACACUCAUAACCAGUCACCGCACGCGAGUCCUAAUUCCGAUAUCUCCAUCACCCCAUCCAAGGCUUGGGGAACAUUCCAGAAGAGAGAGAGGGAAGAACAGGAAAGCCAGAACGGACUGUUCUGAAACACUAUUUCCAGGCAGGAAGUGACCACUGUGCUCCUGAAUUCACAGCAGCUGGGAUGACCUGCUAGAGAGCCACAUCUUGAGCUGCUGACAUCCCAUCACAUUAGGGAAAAGGCUCACCAAGACCCCGCAACAGCUAAUGGAAGUUAAUGGUUGAAUGGUGAGGAUGUUUUCUCCAGUGGUUUAGCUACUGGUAAGCUGCUCUUGAGCCUGUGAUGACCCCUUACCCAUGUUCCUGUAAGCAACCCUAAUGAAAUGCACUGGGUGGCAAAAAGAAAGGAAUGAAUAAAAGAAGAUAGAACAGGGUCGAGUUGCGGAGA
Molecule: long non-coding RNA, 838 nt
Filed under: Mus spicilegus (steppe mouse)
Lineage: Eukaryota; Metazoa; Chordata; Mammalia; Rodentia; Muridae
Description: lncRNA (ENSMSIG00000018344.1)
Source: RNAcentral